CGUUUGGUACCGGAGUAUUCCCAGGGAUUAGCGAGUAUUAUCCCGGCCCAACUUUAAAUCCCCGAUUUUCCCCGAAAGCCCGUUUGGCGCUAGAGUUUUGGGCCGAUUUUAUCCCCGCUCAUCCCCGUCUAUCCCCAUCCCCGACCUAUUUUUGCAUUGAGCGCAACCCACGACCCAGACCCCGUGUUUUAUCCCCGUCCCCGGCCAAGGCUAGCUACAGGCGCAAGGCAACCAGCCAGAGCGGCGGCGAGCGUAGCGGUGGCGAGCGGAGGUGUGGGAGCUGAAGGUGGGGCGAGAGCUUCAGAAGGGGCGGAACACAUCUGACCGACGAAGACAAACGUGGAAUCCGCCGAGCCGAUCCACAUCGCCGCCGCCGUCGUUUUUGGAUUUUGACCGGCGACGCCACCUUCCGCCGGUCCUGUACUCCGGUUUACAUGCUCUCUGGCGUUCCCCUUCUCUGGCAAAACCAUGUGAAUGUUGACUUCACAGAGUUGAAUUCAUCCGUUGCCAUAAAAAUUGGAUCUUUUGUAAUUUAUGCUGAAUUGUCUUCACUGU
Molecule: long non-coding RNA, 555 nt
Organism: Lolium perenne
Lineage: Eukaryota; Viridiplantae; Streptophyta; Magnoliopsida; Poales; Poaceae
Source: RefSeq, a predicted model, not a curated record